GGGGCUGAUUUAUGGAUUUGACGAAAUUAAUGAACCCUAAGGUGCAUGCCGAGGUAAGGUUUGCCUCGUUAAAAAACCUUACAAAAUAAAUGCAAAUCAAUUGCAAUUUGAAUCUGCUUUAGCAGCUUAAUCAGCUUAAAAAACUGAAGAUUCCCUCUAUUUCAAAAAUUUUCUCUUAAUAUUGAUUAUAUAGAGGUUAAAUUUAAAGAGAUAGCGUUAAAAGUUUUGUCUGAAAACUAAAACGUGAAAUAUAAUCAGACUAAUUUAUUAGUAAAUUAUGUCAGUUAAUCACUAAUAAGUAAAAUAAAAUACUGUACUAAGCAUGUAGUACUGAAGGAGUAAUAAUUUCGGACGCGGGUUCAAAUCCCGCCAGCUCCAC
RNAcentral lists this transfer-messenger RNA (379 nucleotides) under Candidatus Mikella endobia. Its description in RNAcentral is "transfer-messenger RNA, SsrA". It matches the Rfam family "transfer-messenger RNA". From Rfam's summary of the family: Bacterial tmRNA, also known as 10Sa RNA or SsrA, is named for its dual tRNA and mRNA-like properties. Its role is to liberate the mRNA from a stalled ribosome. Lineage: Bacteria; Pseudomonadati; Pseudomonadota; Gammaproteobacteria; Enterobacterales; Enterobacteriaceae. The record is from RNAcentral.